Molecule: ribosomal RNA, 492 nt
Filed under: uncultured bacterium
Lineage: Bacteria
Description: partial 16S ribosomal RNA
Rfam family: Bacterial small subunit ribosomal RNA
Source: RNAcentral
AGUGAACGCUGGCGGUAGGCCUAACACAUGCAAGUCGAACGGCAGCACAGUAAGAGCUUGCUCUUACGGGUGGCGAGUGGCGGACGGGUGAGGAAUACAUCGGAAUCUACUUUUUCGUGGGGGAUAACGUAGGGAAACUUACGCUAAUACCGCAUACGACCUACGGGUGAAAGCAGGGGAUCUUCGGACCUUGCGCGAUUGAAUGAGCCGAUGUCGGAUUAGCUAGUUGGCGGGGUAAAGGCCCACCAAGGCGACGAUCCGUAGCUGGUCUGAGAGGAUGAUCAGCCACACUGGAACUGAGACACGGUCCAGACUCCUACGGGAGGCAGCAGUGGGGAAUAUUGGACAAUGGGCGCAAGCCUGAUCCAGCCAUACCGCGUGGGUGAAGAAGGCCUUCGGGUUGUAAAGCCCUUUUUUUGGGAAAGAAAAGCAGCAGGUUAAUACCCCGCUGUUCUGACGGUACCCAAAGAAUAAGCACCGGCUAACUUCGUG